GUAUAAAGCUAAGCUUUAUUACAACUGACACAUAAACUUAACAUUAACCAAGAUAACUAAACAAAGACCAAUGAACCUUGAAAAUGAGGUCAAGGUCAGAUGAAACAUGCCAGGCAGACAUGUACAGCUAACAAUGCUUCUAUACAACAUAUAUAUUUGACCCAUUACUUAUAGUUUAAGAAAAAUAGACCAAAACACAAAAACUUAACACUGUGCAAUGAACCGUGAAAAUGAGGUCAGGGUCAAAUAAAACCUGCGUGACUGACAUAAAGAUCAUAAAAUAUUUCCAUACACCAAAUAUAGUUGACCUAUGGCAUAUAGUAUUAGAUAAAAAGCCCUAAACUCAAAAACUUAACUUUGACUACUGAAC
RNAcentral lists this long non-coding RNA (370 nucleotides) under Mytilus galloprovincialis (Mediterranean mussel). The record is from RNAcentral. Lineage: Eukaryota; Metazoa; Mollusca; Bivalvia; Mytilida; Mytilidae.